Non-coding RNA from Pelobates cultripes (western spadefoot toad), 840 nucleotides. NCBI's taxonomy places the organism in Eukaryota, Metazoa, Chordata, Amphibia, Anura, Pelobatidae. The record is from the annotation of a GenBank genome assembly.
GAGACAGCAAAUAGACAUGGUAGGAGAGAGAGAGAGGAAAGUUUGAGAGAUAGAAGUUACUCUUGGAGGACAAAAGCAUUCCUGAAAAGAUGGGUUUUGAGGGACUUUUUAAAGCAUUGAAGACUAGGAGAGAGUCUGGCAGGGGUAGGCAGGCUGUUCCAAAGGAAAGGAGCCGCCCGUGAGAAGUCUUGCAGGCGUGAAUUUGCAGUAAUAGUGUGAGCAGCAGACAGGAGAAGGUCACUAGUAGAGCGGAGAGACCGAGAGGGGGCAUAUCUAUGAUUCAGUGAAGAAAUGUAAGAGGGUCUAGUGUUGGUUAGAGCUUUAUAGGUAAGGGUUAGUAUUUUAAAUUGACACCUGUAGGCGACAGGAAGCCAGUGUAAGGAUCGACAGAAGGGUGAGGUGUGAGAGGAGCGACAGGAGAGAAAGAUCAGCCUGGCAGCAGCAUGCACCACAGAUUGUAGGGGGGCAGUACGGCUUCUGGGGAGACAAAUUAGGAGAGAAUUACAGUUUCCGUUGCGAGAGAUUACUAGAGUGUAAACAAGCUCCAUGGCAGCAUCUUGCGUAAGAAAGGGGCAUAUGCGGGCAAUGUUUUUAAGUUGGAAUCAACAGUUUUUAGCAACAGACUGGACAUGAGGCGCAAAGGUAAGGCCAAGAUCAAACGUGACACCAAUACAGCAAGUGUGAAAGGAUGGAGUGAGGCAGGUACCGUCAACCUGCAGGGAGAGUGAAUGAGAAGGAUCAGUGUUAUGAGGAGGAAAAAUAAGAAACUCAGUUUUAGAGAGAUUGAGCUUCAGAAAGCGGGAGGACAUCCAUUCAGAGAUAGAAGAAAGGCAAUUGGUG